Molecule: ribosomal RNA, 1260 nt
Filed under: Flavobacterium sp.
Lineage: Bacteria; Pseudomonadati; Bacteroidota; Flavobacteriia; Flavobacteriales; Flavobacteriaceae
Description: bacterial SSU rRNA
Rfam family: Bacterial small subunit ribosomal RNA
Source: RNAcentral
CCGGCGCACGGGUGCGUAACGCGUAUGCAAUCUACCUUUCACAGAGGGAUAGCCCAGAGAAAUUUGGAUAUGUACCUUAUAGUAAUGUCAGUUGGCAUCGACAUGAUAUUAAAGAUUUAUCGGUGAAAGAUGAGCAUGCGUCCCAUAUGUAUGUUGGAUGGGAUGCGGCUUACCAAGGCAACGAUGGUUAGGGGUCCUGAGAGGGAGAUCCCCCACAUUGGUACUGAGACACGGACCAGACUCCUACGGGAGGCACCAGUGAGGAAUAUUGGACAAUGGGCGCAAGCCUGACCCAGCCAUGCCGCGUGCAGGAUGACGGUCCUAUGGAUUGUAAACUGCUUUUAUACAGGAAGAAACAGUUCUACGUGUAGAACCUUGACGGUACUGAUGGAAAUGGGAUCGGCUAACUCCGUGCCAGCAGCCGCGGUAAUACGGAGGAUCCCAAGCUUAUCCGGAAUCAUUGGGUUUAAAGGGUCCGUAGGCGGUCAGAUAAGUCAGUGGUGAAAGCCCAUCGCUCAACGGUGGAACGGCCAUUGAUACUGUCUGACUUGAAUUAUUAGGAAGAUGCUAGAAUAUGAUGUGAUGCGGUGAAAUGCUAUGAGAUUACAUGGAAUACCAAUUGCGAAGGCAGGUUACUACAUGUAUAUUGACGCUGAUGGACGAAAGCGUGGGAUGCGAACAGGAUUAGAUACCCUGGUAGUCCACGCCGUAAACGAUGGAUACAUGCUGUUGGGCGCAAGUUCAGUGGCUAAGCGAAAGUGAAUGGUAUCCCACCUGGGGAGUACGUUCGCAAGAAUGAAACUCAAAGGAAUUGACGGGGGCCCGCACAAGCGGUGGAGCAUGUGGUUUAAUUCGAUGAUACGCGAGGAACCUUACCAAGGCUUAAAUGUAGAUUGACCGGUUUGGAAACAGACUUUUCGCAAGACAAUUUACAAGGUGCUGCAUGGUUGUCGUCAGCUCGUGCCGUGAGGUGUCAGGUUAAGUCCUAUAACGAGCGCAACCCCUGUUGUUAGUUGCCAGCGAGUCAAGUCGGGAACUCUAACAAGACUGCCAGUGCAAACUGUGAAGAAAGUGGGGAUGACGUCAAAUCAUCACGGCCCUUACGCCUUGGGCUACACACGUGCUACAAUGGCCGGUACAGAGAGCAGCCACUGGGCGAGCAGGAGCGAAUCUAUAAAACCGGUCACAGUUCGGAUCGGAGUCUGCAACUCGACUCCGUGAAGCUGGGAUCGCAUGUCGCAGAUCAGCCAUGAUGCGGUG